This is a non-coding RNA of Paramuricea clavata, 132 nucleotides long. Lineage: Eukaryota; Metazoa; Cnidaria; Anthozoa; Malacalcyonacea; Plexauridae. The record is from the annotation of a GenBank genome assembly.
UGCAAAUACCUAUAAAUGUAUGCUUGCAAUUUACUUGCUGCUUGCAUGUAAUUCUUAUGCAAUUGUAUGCUAUAUGCUUGCAUGCAUGCAAUUAUGCAUGCAAACAUCAUGCAAACCUGCAUGAAUGCAUGC